GUAGGUGAGGAGGUAUGUACAUUAACUUAUUACAUGUAAUCAUAAAUAUUUCACAAUUUUUGUCAACGAGUAAUUUGCUAUGUAUUUUGUUACAUUCUAUUUGGAUCUAGGGUUUAUAUUUUUGGGUUAGGGUUUACUGAUUAGGGUUUAGGGUUUAGUAUUUAGAAUUUAGUAACCUGAUCAGUUGAGCGUUAUUCUCUCAAUUAUGU
RNAcentral lists this long non-coding RNA (209 nucleotides) under Brassica napus (rape). Its description in RNAcentral is "long non-coding RNA (BNAP_LNC009996)". Lineage: Eukaryota; Viridiplantae; Streptophyta; Magnoliopsida; Brassicales; Brassicaceae. The record is from RNAcentral.